This 468-nucleotide ribosomal RNA is filed under the name uncultured bacterium. RNAcentral describes it as "partial 16S ribosomal RNA". It matches the Rfam family "Bacterial small subunit ribosomal RNA", at positions 28 to 507 of the family's 1533-position model. The record is from RNAcentral.
GACGAACGCUGGCGGCGUGCUUAACACAUGCAAGUCGAACGGAAAGGCCCUGCUUUUGUGGGGUGCUCGAGUGGCGAACGGGUGAGUAACACGUGAGUAACCUGCCCUUGACUUUGGGAUAACUUCAGGAAACUGGGGCUAAUACCGGAUAGGAGCUCCUGCUGCAUGGUGGGGGUUGGAAAGUUUCGGCGGUUGGGGAUGGACUCGCGGCUUAUCAGCUUGUUGGUGGGGUAGUGGCUUACCAAGGCUUUGAAGGGUAGCCGGCCUGAGAGGGUGACCGGCCACAUUGGGACUGAGAUACGGCCCAGACUCCUACGGGAGGCAGAAGUGGGGAAUAUUGCACAAUGGGCGGAAGCCUGAUGCAGCAACGCCGCGUGCGGGAUGACGGCCUUCGGGUUGUAAACCGCUUUCGCCUGUGACGAAGCGUGAGUGACGGUAAUGGGUAAAGAAGCACCGGCUAACUACGUG